Molecule: non-coding RNA, 72 nt
Organism: Phrynosoma platyrhinos (Desert horned lizard)
Lineage: Eukaryota; Metazoa; Chordata; Lepidosauria; Squamata; Phrynosomatidae
Source: the annotation of a GenBank genome assembly
GUCAGUCUGGCAUAGUGGUUGGAGAGUCAGACUGUGACGCUGGAGAUCAGGGUUCAAUUCCUUGCUCAGUCA